Molecule: ribosomal RNA, 2900 nt
Filed under: Candidatus Improbicoccus pseudotrichonymphae
Lineage: Bacteria; Bacillati; Bacillota; Clostridia
Description: 23S ribosomal RNA
Rfam family: Bacterial large subunit ribosomal RNA
Source: RNAcentral
UUAAGCUACAAAGAGCGCAGGGGGAAUGCCUUGGCGCUGGGAGCCGAUGAAGGGCGCAGUUAACAGCGAUAUUCUUCGGGGAGUCGUAAACAGGCUUUGAUCCGGAGGUGCCCGAAUGGGGAAACCCGGUUGAGUAAACCUCAAUCAGUUUACGGUAAAUAAAAUAGCCGUAUACAGGGAACCACCUGAACUGAAACAUCUAAGUAAGGUGAGGAAAAGAAAUCAAAUGAGAUUCCGUUAGUAGUGGCGAGCGAAUGCGGAAGAGGCUAAACCGAGAUUGGAAACAUUUUCGGGGUUUGAGAUAGCAAUAAAUUCCUUUUAAAUUUCGAGCAGAACAAUUUGGGAAAAUUGACGAUACAGCGUGAAAGUCGCGUACGCGAAGUUUUUUAGAAGGAAGAGUUAUUUUCAGAGUACUGCCGGACACGUGGAACCCGGUAGGAAUGUGGGGGGACCAUCCUCUAAGCCUAAAUACUACCCAGCGACCGAUAGUGAAGAGUACCGUGAGGGAAAGGCGAAAAGAACCCCGGGAGGGGAGUGAAAUAGAACCUGAAACCCUGUGUUUACAAGCACCGAAAGUUUAUUUAUGAACGAUCGGGUACUUUUUGUAGAACGGUCCGGCGAGUAAAUAGUGCCAGCAAGGUUAAGUGCUUUUAGCAUGGAGCCGUAGGGAAACCGAGUCUUAAUAGGGCGUGUUAGUUGGUAUUAUUUGACCCGAAACCAGGUGACCUAUCCAUGUCCAGACUGAAGAAGAGGUGAAACUCUUCAGAGGGUCGAACCGACUCCUGUUGAAAUAGUAGCGGAUGAGGUGUGGAUAGAGGAGAAAUUCCAAUCGAACCUGGAGAUAGCUGGUUCUCUCCGAAAUAGCUUUAGGGCUAGCCUUGUAUUUAGAUUAGCGGAGGUAAAGCACUGACUGGGCUAGGGAUCGAAAGAUUACCGAACUCUAUCAAACUAAGAAUGCCGUUAAUUAUGUGUACAGGAGUCAGACAGUGUGAGAUAAGUUUCAUUGUCAAAAGGGAAACAGCCCAGACCCACAGCUAAGGACCCUAAGUAAGUUUAAGUGGAAAAGGAUGUGGAAUUGUUCAGACAACCAGGAUGUUGGCUUAGAAGCAGCCAUUCAUUAAAAGAACGCGUAAUAGCGCACUGGUCGAGUGAUUCUGCGCCGAAGAUUUAACGGGGCUAAAAACUUACUCCGAAGCUUGGGAAUCAAAAGUUGGAUUUUAAUUUGUAAAGAUUAUAUUUGAUUUUUACAGAUUAAGUUUAAUUUUUGAUUGGUAGGAGAGCGUCCCGUGAGGAGUGAAGCUACAGCGUAAGCAGUAGUGGACUUUGCGGAAGUGAGAAUGCCGGAAUGAGUAGCGAGAAAUAUGUGAGAAUCAUAUUGGCCGAAAAUCUAAGGAAUUUGGGGGAAGGUUCGUCCGCCCCAAUUUAGUCGGGAGCUAAGGCGAGGCCGAAAGGCGUAGUCGAUGCACAAACGGUUAAUAUUCCGUUACUACCUUAGAAUUUAAGUAAAAUGACGUCUUUUUUUGAAUGUAUCCCGGUCGUUGGUUGUAUCGGGCGUAAGGGAUCGAAAAUUAGUAGAGAAGUAUGUUUUGAAAGAGACCAAGAAAAGUUUUAUGGUAUAUUCUAAGGUACCCGUACCGUAAACCGACACAGGUAGAUGGGAUGAGUAUUCUAAGGCCAACGGGAGAAGGGUAGUUAAGGAACUCGGCAAAAUUACCCCGUAACUUCGGGAUAAGGGGGGCCUGUCGCAAGAUAGGCCGCAGAGAAUAGGCCCAGGCGACUGUUUAUCAAAAACACAGGUCUGUGCUAAAUCGUAAGAUGAUGUAUACGGGCUGACGCCUGCCCGGUGCCGGAAGGUUAAGAGGAUGAGUGUAAGCUUUGAAUUGAAGCCCCGGUGAACGGCGGCCGUAACUAUAACGGUCCUAAGGUAGCGAAAUUCCUUGUCGGGUAAAUUCCGACCCGCAUGAAUGGCGUAACGAUCUGGGCGCUGUCUCAACUGCCCGCCCGGCGAAAUUGUAGUACCGGUGAAAAUGCCGGUUACCUGCGGCAAGACGGAAAGACCCCAUGGAGCUUUACUGUAGCUUGAUAUUGGGUUUCGGUGAUUUAUGUACAGGAUAGGUGGGAGGCUGUGAAGUCAAAGCGUUAGCUUUGAUGGAGUCGUCGUUGGGAUACCACCCUUAGAUUACUGGAAUUCUAACCUUCGGCCGUAGUCCGGUCGGGGAACAUUGUCAGGUGGGCAGUUUGACUGGGGCGGUCGCCUCCUAAAGAGUAACGGAGGCGCUCAAAGGUUGGCUCAGCACGGUCGGAAAUCGUGUUAUAGAGUGUAAACGCAUAAGCCAGCCUAACCGUGAGGGCGACAACCCGAACGGUGACGAAAGUCGGAGUUAGUGAUCCGGCGGUUGUGUAUGGAAAUGCCGUCGCUCAACGGAUAAAAGUUACCCUGGGGAUAACAGGCUUAUACCCCCCAAGAGUUCACAUCGACGGGGGUGUUUGGCACCUCGAUGUCGGCUCAUCACAUCCUGGAGCUGUAUUAGGUUCCAAGGGUUCGGCUGUUCGCCGAUUAAAGUGGUACGCGAGCUGGGUUCAGAACGUCGUGAGACAGUUCGGUCCCUAUCUGCCGUGGGCGUUGGAUAUUUGAGAAAUGCUGUCCCUAGUACGAGAGGACCGGGAUGGACGUACCUCUGGUGCACCAGUUGUUAUGCCAAUAGCAUAGCUGGGUAGCUAAGUACGGCAGGGAUAAACGCUGAAAGCAUCUAAGCGUGAAGCCUCCUUCAAGAUUAGAUAUCCUUGUACACAAUGCAAAUUGUGUGCUGUAGACCCCCUUUAGACUAAAGGGUAUAUAGGGUAUAUGUGUAAGCAUGGUAACAUGUUUAGCUUAAUACUCCUAAUUGGUUAAACGCUUU